Molecule: ribosomal RNA, 1373 nt
Filed under: uncultured bacterium
Lineage: Bacteria
Description: bacterial SSU rRNA
Rfam family: Bacterial small subunit ribosomal RNA
Source: RNAcentral
GAUGAACGCUGGCGGCGUGCCUAAUACAUGCAAGUCGAGCGAACGGACGAGAAGCUUGCUUCUCUGAUGUUAGCGGCGGACGGGUGAGUAACACGUGGAUAACCUACCUAUAAGACUGGGAUAACUUCGGGAAACCGGAGCUAAUACCGGAUAAUAUUUUGAACCGCAUGGUUCAAAAGUGAAAGACGGUCUUGCUGUCACUUAUAGAUGGAUCCGCGCUGCAUUAGCUAGUUGGUAAGGUAACGGCUUACCAAGGCAACGAUGCAUAGCCGACCUGAGAGGGUGAUCGGCCACACUGGAGCUGAGACACGGUCCAGACUCCUACGGGAGGCAGCAGUAGGGAAUCUUCCGCAAUGGGCGAAAGCCUGACGGAGCAACGCCGCGUGAGUGAUGAAGGUCUUCGGAUCGUAAAACUCUGUUAUUAGGGAAGAACAUAUGUGUAAGUAACUGUGCACAUCUUGACGGUACCUAAUCAGAAAGCCACGGCUAACUACGUGCCACGCAGCCGCGGUAAUACGUAGGUGGCAAGCGUUAUUCCGGAUUAUCGGGCGUAAAGCGCGCGUAAGCCGUUUUUUAAGUCUGAUGUGAAAGCCCACGGCUCAUUCGUGGAGGGUCAUUGGAAACUGGAAAACUUGAGUGCAGAAGAGGAAAGUGGAAUUCCAUGUGUAGCGGUGAAAUGCGCAGAGAUAUGGAGGAACACCAGUGGCGAAGGCGACUUUCUGGUCUGUAACUGACGCUGAUGUGCGAAAGCGUGGGGAUCAAACAGGAUUAGAUACCCUGGUAGUCCACGCCGUAAACGAUGAGUGCUAAGUGUUAGGGGGUUUCCGCCCCUUAGUGCUGCAGCUAACGCAUUAAGCACUCCGCCUGGGGAGUACGACCGCAAGGUUGAAACUCAAAGGAAUUGACGGGGACCCGCACAAGCGGUGGAGCAUGUGGUUUAAUUCGAAGCAACGCGAAGAACCUUACCAAAUCUUGACAUCCUUUGACAACUCUAGAGAUAGAGCCUUCCCCUUCGGAGGACAAAGUGACAGGUGGUGUAUGGUUGUCGUCAGCUCGUGUCGUGAGAUGUUGGGUUAAGUCCCGCAACGAGCGCAACCCUUAAGCUUAGUUGCCAUCAUUAAGUUGGGCACUCUAAGUUGACUGCCGGUGACAAACCGGAGGAAGGUGGGGAUGACGUCAAAUCAUCAUGCCCCUUAUGAUUUGGGCUACACACGUGCUACAAUGGACAAUACAAAGGGCAGCGAAACCGCGAGGUCAAGCAAAUCCCAUAAAGUUGUUCUCAGUUCGGAUUGUAGUCUGCAACUCGACUACAUGAAGCUGGAAUCGCUAGUAAUCGUAGAUCAGCAUGCUACGGUGAAUACGUUCCCGGGUCU